GUAGGGAGCUUGCUCCCUACAAGAGUGGCGCACGGGUGCGUAACGCGUAUGCAACCUACCUGUAACAGGGGGAUAGCUCACCGAAAGGUGAAUUAAUACCGCAUAAUAUCACGAAGAGGCAUUUCUUUGUGAUCAAAACUCCGGUGGUUACAGAUGGGCAUGCGUGUCAUUAGCUAGUUGGUGAGGUAACGGCUCACCAAGGCGACGAUGACUAGGGGAUCUGAGAGGAUGACCCCCCACACUGGUACUGAGACACGGACCAGACUCCUACGGGAGGCAGCAGUAAGGAAUAUUGGACAAUGGGGGCAACCCUGAUCCAGCCAUGCCGCGUGCAGGAAGACGGCCCUAUGGGUUGUAAACUGCUUUUGUCGGGGAAGAAACCCUUCUACGUGUAGGAGGUUGACGGUACUCGAAGAAUAAGGAUCGGCUAACUCCGUGCCAGCAGCCGCGGUAAUACGGAGGAUCCAAGCGUUAUCCGGAUUUAUUGGGUUUAAAGGGUGCGUAGGUGGCUUUGUAAGUCAGUGGUGAAAGUUUUCAGCUUAACUGGAAAAUUGCCAUUGAUACUGCAGGGCUUGAGUUCAGAUGAGGUAGGCGGAAUGUGUCAUGUAGCGGUGAAAUGCAUAGAUAUGACACAGAACACCGAUUGCGAAGGCAGCUUACUAAACUGAAACUGACACUGAGGCACGAAAGCGUGGGGAUCAAACAGGAUUAGAUACCCUGGUAGUCCACGCCCUAAACGAUGAUCACUCGAUGUGUGCGAUAUACAGUACGCGUCCAAGCGAAAGCGUUAAGUGAUCCACCUGGGGAGUACG
RNAcentral lists this ribosomal RNA (812 nucleotides) under uncultured Sphingobacteriia bacterium. Its description in RNAcentral is "bacterial SSU rRNA". It matches the Rfam family "Bacterial small subunit ribosomal RNA", at positions 71 to 884 of the family's 1533-position model. The record is from RNAcentral. Lineage: Bacteria; Pseudomonadati; Bacteroidota; Sphingobacteriia.